AGUCCCGUAGCUCAGUUGGUUAGAGCACUACACUGAUAAUGUAGGGGUCCGCAGUUCAAAUCUGCGCGGGACUACCA
RNAcentral lists this transfer RNA (77 nucleotides) under Marinilabilia salmonicolor. It matches the Rfam family "tRNA". From Rfam's summary of the family: Transfer RNA (tRNA) molecules are approximately 80 nucleotides in length. Their secondary structure includes four short double-helical elements and three loops (D, anti-codon, and T loops). Lineage: Bacteria; Pseudomonadati; Bacteroidota; Bacteroidia; Marinilabiliales; Marinilabiliaceae. The record is from RNAcentral. RNAcentral also lists the same sequence under 2 other names.